AUUAUUUAAUUUAUUAAAUCUUCGCAGCGGACAACAACAUAAUUAUUAUCAUAAUGUGCCAACAUGAUCUCAACAAAACAUCUCAACAAAUCAUUCAUCACAAACAACGUAAAUAACAAUAAUAUAGCUAUCGGAUCCCAUAAUCCCCGGUGUCACAUGACCAGAGCAUUUGACUCGACUCUGUAGAAUGACCCUACACUUAUUCUUCGAACCUCAACAAUAGCUACUCCUCUUUAUCUG
RNAcentral lists this long non-coding RNA (240 nucleotides) under Lathyrus oleraceus (garden pea). RNAcentral's name for it is "Pisum sativum (pea) long non-coding RNA (PSAT_LNC015026)". The record is from RNAcentral. Lineage: Eukaryota; Viridiplantae; Streptophyta; Magnoliopsida; Fabales; Fabaceae.